This 220-nucleotide long non-coding RNA is filed under the name Elaeis guineensis (African oil palm). RNAcentral's name for it is "long non-coding RNA (EGUI_LNC010718)". Lineage: Eukaryota; Viridiplantae; Streptophyta; Magnoliopsida; Arecales; Arecaceae. The record is from RNAcentral.
CGCUCCAUAGAAUAAUUGGCAAAAACAAGCAUUUUGAUUACAUCAACCUAAAAAAUUUUUUAGUUUUAGAUCUAUACCAGAUGCACGCACAUACAGAUCAAAGAUGCCUGCAUGCACGUAUUGCAACGGCUCAAACAAUUUAUUGACACUACAACUUAUUCAUAUCUGAAUUACGUGACCUAAAAUAUUUAAGCUCAAAUUGUUAGUAGUAGACUAAAUC